This 979-nucleotide ribosomal RNA is filed under the name Microbacterium sp. DSM 27211. RNAcentral describes it as "bacterial SSU rRNA". It matches the Rfam family "Bacterial small subunit ribosomal RNA", at positions 72 to 1061 of the family's 1533-position model. The record is from RNAcentral. Lineage: Bacteria; Bacillati; Actinomycetota; Actinomycetes; Micrococcales; Microbacteriaceae.
GCAGGAGCUUGCUCUUGUGGAUCAGUGGCGAACGGGUGAGUAACACGCUGAGCAACCUGCCCCUGACUCUGGGAUAAGCGCUGCAGACGGCGUCUAAUACUGGAUAUGUGACGUGACCAAAUGGUCUGCGUUUGGAAAGAUUUUUCGGUUGGGGAUGGGCUCGCGGCCUAUCAGCUUGUUGGUGAGGUAAUGGCUCACCAAGGCGUCGACGGGUAGCCGGCCUGAGAGGGUGACCGGCCACACUGGGACUGAGACACGGCCCAGACUCCUACGGGAGGCAGCAGUGGGGAAUAUUGCACAAUGGGCGAAAGCCUGAUGCAGCAACGCCGCGUGAGGGAUGACGGCCUUCGGGUUGUAAACCUCUUUUAGCAGGGAAGAAGCGAAAGUGACGGUACCUGCAGAAAAAGCGCCGGCUAACUACGUGCCAGCAGCCGCGGUAAUACGUAGGGCGCAAGCGUUAUCCGGAAUUAUUGGGCGUAAAGAGCUCGUAGGCGGUUUGUCGCGUCUGCUGUGAAAUCCCGAGGCUCAACCUCGGGCCUGCAGUGGGUACGGGCAGACUAGAGUGCGGUAGGGGAGAUUGGAAUUCCUGGUGUAGCGGUGGAAUGCGCAGAUAUCAGGAGGAACACCGAUGGCGAAGGCAGAUCUCUGGGCCGUAACUGACGCUGAGGAGCGAAAGGGUGGGGAGCAAACAGGCUUAGAUACCCUGGUAGUCCACCCCGUAAACGUUGGGAACUAGUUGUGGGGUCCAUUCCACGGAUUCCGUGACGCAGCUAACGCAUUAAGUUCCCCGCCUGGGGAGUACGGCCGCAAGGCUAAAACUCAAAGGAAUUGACGGGGACCCGCACAAGCGGCGGAGCAUGCGGAUUAAUUCGAUGCAACGCGAAGAACCUUACCAAGGCUUGACAUAUACGAGAACGGGCCAGAAAUGGUCAACUCUUUGGACACUCGUAAACAGGUGGUGCAUGGUUGUCGUCAGCUC